CAGCCCGCGGGAGUGGAGGGAGCGCGGAGACGUUCCUCCCGGUGGGGCGCGCGUGGGCGCGAGAGGGCGCUCGGGGACCCAAGGCUGCGCGCACUGCCCUGGCGGCGCCGGUUGGCUUCGGAGGCGGUGUCGCUUGGCGCAGAAGGGCACUUUGCACUCCUUACCCGUCCUCUCCUCUCUAGUUCGGCCCCUACUCCUAACCGGGUUUCCGCUUAGGCGACCCGCUGCCUCUGGAGGGGUAGGCAUUGCCCGCCUCUCUGUUCAGGCUCAGCACAGACCAAGCUGCGGCACCCAACUUGGAAGACGUGGAAGAACUGGAAAACCAGGCGGGGCAGUACUUGUAAAGGAACCUAUCCAUUAGCUCCUGUGUAAAAAAAGGUUUUGCAAUGCCUUAUUGAAUCCUGGGAAAAGUGGGAGCUAGAAGCUUCUACUCCUCAGGUUUGUUAUCAAAGGAUUCAUGGAAACAAAAAGUGGAUUAGUGGUUCCCAGGAGGCUGAGAAGUGGAGAAUGAUAACAGACUGCUAAAGGGCAAUUACUACCACCUGAAAGUGCUUCCUGGCCAGACCCCUGCAAACAAAAGCCACUGAUUUCCAGGAGGCAGUCACCUCCCUGCUUUCCCCAAACUCCCUACCCUUCACCUCUUGUGAGUGCUGCCAUCACCUAAAAACCUACAUCACUUAAGAGAUUCCUGGAUUGGAACCCUGUGCACUUCGAACCUGGCAGCUGUUACUACUCAGUAUACCAGAGAAUCGGGUUGCUUCUUCCAACUGAGGAAUCCCAGGAAGAGCCCGCAGCCAGACCCCAAAUGGCUUCUCAGGACCCAUGUUUCAUGACAGAUGCUGCCACAGGACUUUUAGUGCUUGGUUCUUUGCGAACAGGUUUCUGUGACUGAGGAACGGGCUCUGUGGGCUCGUGUAGUGGGAAUCCUGUAUUGUGUUCAACUAUACUCUGAAGAAAAUGUGUUAUUGCUAUGGAAAAUUUUGUUCCUGUGCUUCACAAAUCUUGCCAAGUCUCUUAAUAUGAAUAUUUCUUCAGAGAUGAAAGCCAGAAGAACUCUUUGGUUAUCCAGAUACAAAAUACAGAGACUGUUUAUUUGGGAGCAGCCUGUCUUUCUUCAUAAAUACUUUUUGUAGAGUGAUGGCCUAUAAACAAUGGAGAUGGAAAACCAUCUACACAGACUACAGCUUCAUGAAAGAAGAAAAUAAACAAAAAACAAAAAGCACAGCACGCAGUAUCUGUAGGAGAAAGAGAAGCCCAAACCACAGUUGGGUUUUAUACUCACCAGAAUGGCUUGAGUGCAGAUGAAGUUGGGGAACAAUGUGAUUUUCACACAUGGUAUUGGUUUGUUUUUAAAACCCAUGCCCACUUUUUUAAAAGUGUAAUUUAGCUUUGGUUUCUUUCGUUCUUUAGAAGACAUCUCUGGAGGCAAUUGAUGAUUUAAAAAUCAGUAGUGGAAGUCUCAAAGUGACCCCGUGUUCCUAGUCCCAAUUCAUAUAGUGGAACAGUUAGUUACUAAAAAAUUGCCCUUAGGUUUGCUCCCACCCAGAAGGCAUUUCUGGUUGGUGUUGGAAAGAAACUUCCCUGGACUCCCAGAGGGGCUCUCCCACAGAUGCCCUCCUUACCCAAAUCACUUGCAUUUCCCACCUGUAGACACACACUCUCUUAGUCCUCCCCCCCACCCCACCUCCUCUCCCAGGAGUGAUCUGGAUUAGACAACAAACAGCACUUCCCAGAUGGGCACACAUGCAGCAGCUGUCAAAAGGAGAAGUCAGUUUACUUUCUUUUAAACUUGCAAUGUUUGCCUUUAUUUUGUUCUUUAUAUUUUGAAAGUGAAAAGAAAUAGUAUU
Long non-coding RNA from Myotis myotis, 1847 nucleotides. RefSeq lists it as uncharacterized. The record is from RefSeq and is a predicted model, not a curated record. Lineage: Eukaryota; Metazoa; Chordata; Mammalia; Chiroptera; Vespertilionidae. The transcript is spliced from 4 exons.